GACAAACGGGUCGAGUUAAGGUUAUUUCAGAAUAAAAGGAAGUUAGAGAGUUUUGGUUUAUAGAAGAAACUUUAAGUUGUUUUAUAGAGGUGGAAUUUGUAUAAAAUGGUUUAAUUUUUUAUUUUCUUGUUCUUGAUGCUUCGAGAAUUUAGUGGGAGACCGGGAUUAGAUACCCCGUUAUUUAUUUUGUAAACUUUAGUUUAAUUGCUUAUUUGGGGAUUACGAGCUUAUUUUUAUUUAAUAGAUUAUAAAAAUAUUGUGCUUAAAACUCAAAAAACUUGGCGGUGCCUUAUUUCUUUCCAGGGGAACCUGUCCUAUAAUCGAUGGUCCACGGUUUAACUUUCCUUUAUUUGUAUAAUAAUUUAUGGUUAUUAAGCAGUUUGUAUACCGUCGUCGUCAGAUUAUCUUUGAGGGUUAUAGAAGUUGUCAGAAAAAUGUGAUGUGGAAAUUUAUUUUGUUUUUCUGCUGUUGUGGGAGAGUAAGCUCUAAUAGAGUUAUUUUAAAUUUAAAUUGAUAUGGAGGUUUUGAUGUCAGAUCAAGGUGCAGCUUAUAUAAAGGUAGAGAUGGGUUACAGUAAACAUUUAAUAUACGGAUUUUGCUUUGUAAUUGGCAAAUGAAGGUGGACUUGGGAGUAAUAUAAAUCUUUGGGAGUAGAGAGCUUUAAUGAAUGAGGUACUAAGGUGUGU
This 686-nucleotide ribosomal RNA is filed under the name Trochus incrassatus. RNAcentral's name for it is "partial 12S ribosomal RNA". The record is from RNAcentral. Lineage: Eukaryota; Metazoa; Mollusca; Gastropoda; Trochida; Trochidae.